GAUGAGCGCUGGCGGCGUGCCUAAUACAUGCAAGUAGAACGCUGAAGGAGGAGCUUGCUCUUCUGGAUGAGUUGCGAACGGGUGAGUAACGCGUAGGUAACCUGCCUGGUAGCGGGGGAUAACUAUUGGAAACGAUAGCUAAUACCGCAUGACAACAGUUAUUGCAUGAUAACUGUUUAAAAGGGGCAACUGCUCCACUACCAGAUGGACCUGCGUUGUAUUAGCUAGUUGGUGAGGUAACGGCUCACCAAGGCGACGAUACAUAGCCGACCUGAGAGGGGGAUCGGCCACACUGGGACUGAGACACGGCCCAGACUCCUACGGGAGGCAGCAGUAGGGAAUCUUCGGCAAUGGACGGAAGUCUGACCGAGCAACGCCGCGGGAGUGAAGAAGGUUUUCGGAUCGUAAAGCUCUGUUGUAAGAGAAGAACGAGUGUGAGAGUGGAAAGUUCACACUGUGACGGUAUCUUACCAGAAAGGGACGGCUAACUACGUG
Molecule: ribosomal RNA, 495 nt
Filed under: uncultured bacterium
Lineage: Bacteria
Description: partial 16S ribosomal RNA
Rfam family: Bacterial small subunit ribosomal RNA
Source: RNAcentral